RNAcentral lists this ribosomal RNA (405 nucleotides) under uncultured bacterium. Its description in RNAcentral is "bacterial SSU rRNA". It matches the Rfam family "Bacterial small subunit ribosomal RNA", at positions 29 to 480 of the family's 1533-position model. The record is from RNAcentral.
AACGAACGCUGGCGGCAGGCCUAACACAUGCAAGUCGAGCGCUCACUUCGGUGGGAGCGGCGGACGGGUUAGUAACGCGUGGGAACGUGCCCAGAUCUACGGAAUAGCCUCGGGAAACUGAGAGUAAUACCGUAUACGCCCUUCGGGGGAAAGAUUUAUCGGAUUUGGAUCGGCCCGCGUUAGAUUAGGUAGUUGGUGGGGUAAUGGCCUACCAAGCCUACGAUCUAUAGCUGGUUUUAGAGGAUGAUCAGCAACACUGGGACUGAGACACGGCCCAGACUCCUACGGGAGGCAGCAGUGGGGAAUCUUGGACAAUGGGCGCAAGCCUGAUCCAGCCAUGCCGCGUGAGUGAUGAAGGCCCUAGGGUCUAAAGCUCUUUCGCCAGAGAUGAUAAUGACAGUAUCU